Paramuricea clavata is the source of this 213-nucleotide non-coding RNA. The record is from the annotation of a GenBank genome assembly. Lineage: Eukaryota; Metazoa; Cnidaria; Anthozoa; Malacalcyonacea; Plexauridae.
CGAUGUGUACCUGAUCCAACCCCAAAACCUGAUGACGAUGAAAAAUACUUCUUGUGGAAAUAAACAGAUAGAAGGUUGAUGAACGAAAAAGGACUUGGGAAUAUUAUUAAUAGUUGGUAGAUAUCUUCAAACAUGUAGAAACAGUAAUAACAUCAUGCAUGGAUUAGAUUGAAUUUAAUAGUAGUUCUACAUUGCAUUGUGGUGAGUAAAACA